AGUUGUUAAGCACCCUGCUUUAGAUUUUGAGCAUUUUUGUUGCUCCAAACGGGAAAAAAAAUGCACAAACGACAGAUGAUCUGCUGUACCUUUAAUUACAUGUACAACACAGGUAAGGAAGAAAUGCCUUUGAAACACGAUCGGCUUGACUGAAACUCUAGGGAAAAUAUCCCUAUUGCAUCUGAAAGUGCAACAUCAAAAAUAUGCAUAGACCUUCAUAGAAUAUUGAAACUAACGCAAGUUGUAGAUGCCUCGUUUCUCAGAUUUUGAAUGUUUGGUGUAAUCAAAAACAAUCUUUUGCUGUUUUAGAACGAAAAAAAAAACAAUCUGAGAACUAUUUGUAAUAGAUUGUACUGUUUUAUACAACGUCUGGCUGGUUGUUGCCCAGGGCAACGCAAUCGCAUACAUUCCAUGGAAUUUUUUGACAAUUAAUAUUUGGCAUUUUGUAUCGACAAAAAAAAUUGUAAAUAUUGAAAAAUUGGUAAUAAGUAUUAUAUAUAGUCUUUGGGUGAGGUAUUAUACCUUUUUAGUAUUACAAGUUCAUGCACUUUUUCAACAGUGGUUUUGCUGAUUGUCAUGCUGUAAAAGUGUGUGGUGUAUCAUUCGAGAUCGCAGAAGUAAUAUUUGUAAUCGAAAUGACCGAUGCUACAAGACUGUCUUUUCAAUUUACUAAAAAAAACCUGCCCUUGUAUAUAAACACUGCUAGAGUUAUUUAUUUCUUAAGUAUUUGAUUACCAAUACCGUAAAAUCUUGUAAGCUUGUCGGAAACAAAAACAAGAUGGAUCAAGGUUUUUCCCUGAAAAGUUUAAGAUCCUAAUGACUAUUUUCUAUCGCUCAAAAAAAUGCUGCCGUAUUAUUUGUCCAAUAACGAGCUUAGGAAAUUUCUAGCAUGUUUUAUCUUUGAAGUCCUUUUUUGCAUGAGGAGUCAAUUUCAAGGGCCUAGGGGUUUGGACAAGAAUAAUGGCCUGAGCCAAAGGCGAAGGUCACUAUCCUCAUCCAGGCCCCUCGGCUGGUUUUAAACGUACUUGUUUAAUAACGGCCAUUAGCACAUAUUUAUUCCCAUUCAUAAAUACCUUUCUGUCAAAGAGUCAAGCAAGUCAAACUUACAAAUUUCCAACGAUUUUGUUCAACAAUUGUACUUCAUGUUUUGUAAAACACCAACUCUAGCUGUUUACGGUAUGUGCCUGGCUUGCACGUACUGCGCUGAGUGGCGCAGAAUGCAGCGGUGCAGGUGUAGUGUGAAUUUAGGACUCGAUGAAAUACUGACGGCGCAUGCCUAGGUGAAGAUAAUUUAGGAGAGUAACUGGUCACGUGUGAGGGAUCAACUAAUGAAAGGGUAAAGGGGGCCAGAUUUCAUAGGAGUCCAAAUUUCAUGUGACACCGGGAAAAAAAGUGUUUCAAACCAAUUAGUGUUUUAUCAACCAUUUAAAACCAUCCCACCUGACGGGCUCUCGACCAGUAGGAAUGGGUGAACUGUCUUAGGUAUUUAUGAUUUCUUGUUUCAGUUUAUCACUGCCAAGAAACUUGUAAAGUGCAAAGAUAAAAUUUAUAAAAAAUUAAUAAAUUGAGAUUUCAGCAUUUUUUGGCCAGCAUUAAAGAACUUGUGAACAAUACCACCUUCCGUGAUGGAUUACAUGUAAAUUAAGCAUUUUCAAGCAUGCAGCAUUCACUAAAAGAAAUUGCUUUAAUUAUUUAUGCUUUAUAAAAUAUUUCCAUGUCAUAUUCUCACGGCAGUAUUUCUUUUAAAGAUCGGCUUAAGAGCGUGCAAACAUUUUUUUUUAUGUAAAAGAAAACUGGCAAGAUAAUGACUCCGGUUUAAUAUAACAAAUGUACAAUGUGAGUCCGUUUUUGUCUUCGGGGACAUCACAUUGUAGAUAAGAAAAUGUUUGGGAAUUCUUUUCUUUUCAUUUUUGCUGAGUUGUGGUUCGAGAAAUGGCCAGUUUGAGUUGCCAUUUUAAUCAGGCCCCUUGAGUCCAAGUGACAUGAAUGUCAAAUGGUAACCAUUGGGACCCGGGCAUUUUCUUUUAAAGUGCAAGUCCAUUUACAAUAUAAAUGCAAUGUGAGCCUCACUUUGAUUUUUUUCUUGACGAAUAUAAAUGAAACGUGAAUUAUUGCUGCAGUAAGCUGCAAAGUUGUCCAGGAACUACAAAGAAAUCUGGACUUUUGUUUUUAAUUAUAUUUUUUUAUGAUUUUUUUUUUUAAAUUUAUGUAUUGAUAUAUCCCAAAAAUCUGAAAGUUUUAAUUUCAUUAUAAAUGAGGCGUACGUGUAUAUUGAUUUUAAUUGCAUGCAAGCAUGUUUGGUUUGUGGAUAACUGGCAGCCAUUUCUGAAACUUUGUUUAAGGCUUUGGGAUAUCAAUUUAACGUGGGACCAUGUCCUACAUAACUCCAGUUUGGAGUUUUGUCCAUUUGGAUCAAACACUACUGCUUGGAGAGUCAAAGCUGAAGACAAAAACAUGUUUUC
Molecule: long non-coding RNA, 2462 nt
Filed under: Patiria miniata (bat star)
Lineage: Eukaryota; Metazoa; Echinodermata; Asteroidea; Valvatida; Asterinidae
Description: uncharacterized LOC119721402
Source: RNAcentral